GCUGUCUUGGCCGAGUGGUUAUGGCGAUGGUUUUAAGUUUCUCAAGCUAAACACCAUUAUCGAAAGAUGCAGGAGUUCGAACCUCCUAGACAGCA
Non-coding RNA from Trichoderma simmonsii, 95 nucleotides. The record is from the annotation of a GenBank genome assembly. NCBI's taxonomy places the organism in Eukaryota, Fungi, Ascomycota, Sordariomycetes, Hypocreales, Hypocreaceae.